CGGAGGGUGCAAGCGUUAUCCGGAUUCACUGGGUUUAAAGGGUGCGUAGGUGGGUUGGUAAGUCAGUGGUGAAAUCUCCGUGCUUAACAUGGAAACUGCCAUUGAUACUACUGAUCUUGAAUUUUCAGGAGGUAAGCGGAAUAUGUCAUGUAGCGGUGAAAUGCUUAGAUAUGACAUAGAACACCAAUUGCGAAGGCAGCUUACUACAGGAACAUUGACACUGAUGCACGAAAGCGUGGGGAUCAAACAGGAUUAGAUACCCUGGUAGUCCACGCCCUAAACGAUGGAUACUCGACAUUUGUGAUACACAAUAAGUGUCUGAGCGAAAGCAUUAAGUAUCCCACCUGGGAAGUACGACCGCAAGGUUG
Molecule: ribosomal RNA, 368 nt
Filed under: uncultured organism
Description: bacterial SSU rRNA
Rfam family: Bacterial small subunit ribosomal RNA
Source: RNAcentral